RNAcentral lists this long non-coding RNA (775 nucleotides) under Homo sapiens (human). RNAcentral's name for it is "HSALNT0182845". The record is from RNAcentral. Lineage: Eukaryota; Metazoa; Chordata; Mammalia; Primates; Hominidae.
UUUCUCUAUCCUCUUUCCUUUAUUCAUUAUCAGCGCCAAUGAAGCAAAGACCCCUGGCAAAGCAUAUCUCUUCCAGUUGCGCCUCUUCUCCUUGGUGGUCUUCUUAAGCAACAGACUCUUCCACAAGACAGUCUACCUGCAGUCGGCCCUGAGCAGCUCUACUUCUGCAGAGAAGUUCCCUUCACCGCAUCCGUCGCCUGCCAAACUGAAGGCUACUGCAGGUCACUGAGUUGCCUGCCAUCCAAAGGGGAUGGGCGGGAUUGGAAGAAGCUGUGGCAGCUCUUUUCCCUGUUCACCUCCCGCCUGCCAGGGAAGGCAGGACCCGCUCUGCCAAGGGCCCUCUGCGUAUUCCCUUCUCUCUGAGGAAUUGAAAUUUUUGUCUCUGGUGCACGUAAGGCAGAAUGUUCCCUGACACCAGUGUGUGGAUUUUUAACAUCACCGUGAGUCUGAAAGGACCACAGGUUUUUCUGCAGCUAUUUUCUAGCAUUUGCCAGUCCCUGUGCCUGGACUGAUUGGAACACUUUGUUUUUCUCCCUGUGCCAUUUACCCUUCCACCUUUCCAUCCUGCCUUCUACCACCCUUGGAUGAAUGGAUUUUGUAAUUCUAGCUGUUGUAUUUUGUGAAUUUGUUAAUUUUGUUGUUUUUCUGUGAAACACAUACAUUGGAUAUGGGAGGUAAAGGAGUGUCCCAGUUGCUCCUGGUCACUCCCUUUAUAGCCAUUACUGUCUUGUUUCUUGUAACUCAGGUUAGGUUUUGGUCUCUCUUGCUCCACUGC